Long non-coding RNA from Pleuronectes platessa (European plaice), 196 nucleotides. RefSeq lists it as uncharacterized. Lineage: Eukaryota; Metazoa; Chordata; Actinopteri; Pleuronectiformes; Pleuronectidae. The record is from RefSeq and is a predicted model, not a curated record. The transcript is spliced from 2 exons.
GGACAUGACGUGUGGCUGUCGUAAAAACCCUAUUUGUAAACAACCAGUCCUUUUAACUCGGGGCUGCGUCAUAAACACGGAGCGCUUGGAAGACCACGAUGUCAUCUUCCUUCUGUCAGGAGGAUCAAAGUGAAGCUACAGGAGUUUCAUUAACGUCAACAACUUGGAACCGAACAGUUUGUUUGCUUGAUGAAGA